UACGUAGGGGUCGAGCGUUGUCCGGAGUUACUGGGCGUAAAGCGUGCGUAGGUGGUUUGUUAAGUCUGAUGUGAAAGCCCUGGGCUCAACCUGGGAAUUGCAUUGGAUACUGGCAGGCUAGAGUGCGGUAGAGGGUAGUGGAAUUCCCGGUGUAGCAGUGAAAUGUGUAGAGAUCGGGAGGAACAUCUGUGGCGAAGGCGACUACCUGGACCAGCACUGACGCUGAGGCACGAAAGCGUGGGGAGCAAACAGG
This 253-nucleotide ribosomal RNA is filed under the name uncultured bacterium. RNAcentral describes it as "partial 16S ribosomal RNA". It matches the Rfam family "Bacterial small subunit ribosomal RNA", at positions 524 to 776 of the family's 1533-position model. The record is from RNAcentral.